ACACAUGAAUAUGAUGAAGCAGGAGACACUGGGAACAAGCAGAAACCAGCCAGGUGAACUGCAUCACCAGAUCUCUCAAAAUCAUCACGAAGCUAGUCUCUCUAGGUCGGUUACCAAAGUCCAAAGGCGUCAUCUUACAGCACAUGCCUUGUCCAGAUGGGAUAUAUUGAACAAGGUAAGCAAACAUAAAAUGAAUAUAAAGCGCGCAUCUCCUCUUUAGUAGCUAAAGGGGUCUAUACAAGAUUACUAAACACGGCAAUUGAACUAUUCAUCAUUGCACAUGUCACAUGCUGACCUCAGAAACAACACCCUGCUACUUCUUCAGACGUGGACAUUCCAGGAUCUCU
Brienomyrus brachyistius is the source of this 347-nucleotide long non-coding RNA. RefSeq lists it as uncharacterized. The record is from RefSeq and is a predicted model, not a curated record. The transcript has 3 exons. Lineage: Eukaryota; Metazoa; Chordata; Actinopteri; Osteoglossiformes; Mormyridae.